GCUCUUCUAGUAUACUAAUUACAAUCGACUUCCAAUCCUUAAAAUCUGGUGCAACCCCGGAGAAGAGCA
This 69-nucleotide transfer RNA is filed under the name Pampusana salamonis (Thick-billed ground-dove). RNAcentral describes it as "tRNA-Gly". The record is from RNAcentral. Lineage: Eukaryota; Metazoa; Chordata; Aves; Columbiformes; Columbidae.